RNAcentral lists this ribosomal RNA (465 nucleotides) under uncultured bacterium. RNAcentral describes it as "partial 16S ribosomal RNA". It matches the Rfam family "Bacterial small subunit ribosomal RNA", at positions 28 to 507 of the family's 1533-position model. The record is from RNAcentral.
GACGAACGCUGGCGGCGUGCUUAACACAUGCAAGUCGUACGGUAAGGCCCUUUCGGGGGUACACGAGUGGCGAACGGGUGAGUAACACGUGAGUAACCUGCCCACAACUUUGGGAUAACGCUAGGAAACUGGUGCUAAUACUGGAUAUGUGCUCCUGCUGCAUGGUGGGGGUUGGAAAGCUCCGGCGGUUGUGGAUGGACUCGCGGCCUAUCAGCUUGUUGGUGGGGUAGUGGCCUACCAAGGCGGCGACGGGUAGCCGGCCUGAGAGGGUGACCGGCCACAUUGGGACUGAGAUACGGCCCAGACUCCUACGGGAGGCAGCAGUGUGGAAUAUUGCACAAUGGGCGCAAGCCUGAUGCAGCAACGCCGCGUGCGGGAUGACGGCCUUCGGGUUGUAAACCGCUUUCAGCAGGGACGAAGCUUUUUGUGACGGUACCUGCAGAAGAAGCACCGGCUAACUACGUG